UCUGCUCGAACUCAUUUGUGAAACGAAUAUGAACUCGAAUUCGAAUUGAAAUUUUAACUUAUCGAAUUAAAUUCGAACAAAGAAUUAAAAAUAAUCUCAAACUCUGAACUUGACAAGCUAAAACUCCACUCGGCUCGGCUCGAUUACAGCCCUACAGUGGGAAUGGGAUUCGUUGCGGCGUUUGUUCUUGCUGGGCAUCGAUUAUCUGGUCUUUUGAGGACUGGAUUUAGCUCUUGCUCAAUGGCUCCUAGAGAUUCGUUUCUUCUACACUGCAAUGGUGUGAUGUUUUCUUAGGGCGAAGAGAUGUAUUGGCCGGUUGAUGGGGGCGCUGCAGAAGAGGUUUUUGGGUUAUGUUUCUUGCUCUCGAUUUUAGAUAUCUUCGUUCUGAGGUCUGGAGGAAAAAGGUCGUCUCAGAGUCUCUGUUUCUUGCCUACCGUCGUGUGUCGUUUGGAUCAUCUGGAUCGUUUCUCCCUCUCGUGCGUUGUGGGUCUAGAAGAAGAAAUGCCUGUCGGGGGGUCUCCGUUUGUUGCUUUCCGUUGUGUUCUUGCCUUGUUGUUGAUCCUUUUUUGCUGUGGCUUGCCGUGGUGUAAAAGAAAAAGUUCCUUUCGGGGUCUCUAUUCCUUGCUCCCUUGUGUAUUCUUGGCUUCUUGUUCCAAGUUUCUCGUUGUGAUCUACCGUGGUUGUGAUGUCUAGAAGAAAAAAUUCCUCUCCGGGUCUCUAUUCCUUGCCUCCCGUCGUGCAUUCCUGGCUUCUUGUUGCAAGUUUCUGGUUGUGAUAUGCUUUGGGUCUAGAAGAAAAAGUGCAUCUCGGAGUGUUGUUUCGUGGCUCUUGUCAUUUGUGUCUGGGUAUUCACGAUCAUUUCUGCCUGUCGUCGGUUGUGGGUAUGGUCUCUUGGCUGGAUUUUUUCUAGGACCAUUUGCUCUAUUUGCAAGACAUGGCAGCUCAGACUUUACAAAAAGAAUGGAUUUUCAAGUGACUGCAGACGUAGACUGGUGGAACAACAAAAAACUCAACAUUCCUUUCCAUCCAUAUAGUAGAUGAAACAACAUGACUCUGGAAUGCAUGCAUAAAUCUGCAGAACCAUAUUUCUUAAUUACAAAAGACACCUAUAUAUUUGGUGAGAGGAGUGAGAAAUGAAUAUUGUAGCGUACGUUUGGCUAAGUUAUUGUACACCCAAAUAUUUGAUAAGUUACUGUACAUAAUGACCAAGUCUAUAUAGACAUGUUUAAUUUGAUGUGGGGUA
Molecule: RNA transcript, 1243 nt
Organism: Carya illinoinensis
Lineage: Eukaryota; Viridiplantae; Streptophyta; Magnoliopsida; Fagales; Juglandaceae
Exons: 6
Source: RefSeq, a predicted model, not a curated record